Molecule: RNA transcript, 3233 nt
Organism: Helianthus annuus (common sunflower)
Lineage: Eukaryota; Viridiplantae; Streptophyta; Magnoliopsida; Asterales; Asteraceae
Exons: 10
Source: RefSeq, a predicted model, not a curated record
UAGCCAUUUUGUUAAAGCGGUAUUAUGUUCUUCAAUACGGAAACUCCAAUAAUUUCUCAAUCAAUUGAAAUCUUCUCCAAUACUCUUCAGUCAAUCUUUAAAACCUCAUUUAAAUUUCAUAUAUCUUGCCUGUUCCAUCGUUCCAUCUCUCUGUUGAUGUAUAUUAUGUUUUCAAUUUCAAACAAUAGCUAAUGAUUCUAUGAUGAUUCUUCGACUGCCUUGCUGCUCCUCCGAAGAUCUCCAAUCUCUUCCAGUUUUGAAUCUGAGCGAUUGUGUACACAAUUAGGGUUCAUGCUAAUAAUCUGAAUUUGAUUCUGUGACAAUGUCGGGGAGUCGGCGGACUAUUUCUUUGGUCGAUUUCUUUGAUUCUACGGUAACAAUCAUCUUUUAAUUUAUAUCUUAUUGGUUUCUUUGUACAGAUCUGGUAGUUUUUGUUAGAAUUUAUAAAUGAAAUACCUAUUUUAUUGUCUUUCAUUUGAUUGAUUCAUCGGCGGUUGACAAAGAUGCUUGAAUGAAAAUUACUUACAAUUUUGGAGUAUAAAUAUUUGUUGUGCAAAUCAAGAACAAAUAGAUUGGUUUAUACAAGGUAUAUUAGUUAGGUUUAUUAUGUCGACAAGGUUUAUUAUAAUUAUAUUAUAUUAAUAUAUAAUAUGGGAUGUUCAUUAAUUUAAAAAAUUGCGAUGGAUUUCGUUUUGGAGAGGAUGGGUUGGAAAUUCAGGAUGUGCAAAGUGAGAUAGUCAGGAGGCAUAUUGUUCCACAAGUGUUUAUCAAUGGGAAAUCUCUUGGAGAUUCAGAUGGUAAGUCCAACUUCAAACAACUUUAAUCACAUUUUUUGUUUCUACAAUAGCAGGUUAGUAAACUACAAAAGGAAAAAGAAUCAGAGAUGUAGAGAUGUGUUGUUGAUCUACAAUAUCAGAGUGGAAUCAAAAUCCUCAUCUUCAUCUUCAUCUCCCGACUUGAUACAGAGCCGGUGUGGGAUUUGAGUUUGUUCUUCAUCUAGGGUUUUGAUGAUGAGAGCAAUUGUGUGAUGAGCUUGCCUUGCUCUCAAGAAAUCGGGUUCCGCCGCGAGCGGAGAGACAACUGCUUUGUUGUUGUUUAGACUCAACCAGAAGAGAACCGUCAUUGGAGCUGUGACAGUGGCGUACGAAUGGGGAUUCAAGUCAGCGAUGGUGGUUGUGGCUUUGAGUAGAGGUUCGACUAUUCAUCAGCAAGUUAUUAAAGAAUUUUCAUGGUCAUUUUGUUCAGUGAGAUGUGCAAGUUAUAAGGUCCGAUGGAUGAUACGAAGAAGUUCCCAAAGUAAAAUUAUGAUGGGUCCAACGGGUUUGGGUCAUAAGGUUCCAACCAAACUGGUUCAGGGAUUAUUUGCCGCCUGGGAUAUGAUGGCUGAUGCAAAUAUACCUCAAGGUGCCAUUACGACGUGUUAGAAGAUAAAGAUUUACAAAACGUUCGCCUCGCAGCUGAUGGCUAGAAGAAAGUUUUUUAUGAUGUUCCGACAAGAAUUAGAGCAAAGCUAUAACAAGGGUAACCUUAUCUGGUGUUUGCUAUAGCAAGAGAAAUAAAUGGCAUAAGGGUGUGCUGGGUGUACUUGGUGAAGGGGUGUGCAGUGAGUAUUCACCAUGUGGGAACACCGCCCCUUAGACCCUUCACCAUGCGGUAAAUGGAUACAAGCUGGGAAUAUUCACCGUGCAAGGGAAGAGGGGGGAUGUUGUGCCCCACUAUCUUCCAACCAUAUAUGGUUCAUUUGGCAAUUGGCAAUGAUCUUAAUACCAUAAAAGCCAAUUGGCAGGUAAACAGGCGGUUGGUUAGCUUGGCAAUGACCUAUUAAUGUGAUCGAUACAUAUUUUGCAUUUGGUUCAGCAUUGGAUAUUGAGUUUUGAAGCCGAUAAACCGAUGUGCGUUCUAUGCUUCCCCAUGGUAAUUGACACUCCCCAAACUGUGCUUGCAAAUAUUGUGAAAGAGUGGGUAGAUAUAGCAUUAAGGCCAGUGGUAGAACAGGAAAUUCACUUUUAGUACCGGUACCGAACGGAUACCAUGCUAAUUUCCUAACCAUUCUUGCAGGUCUUAAUUCAUAGAGAUGAGCAUUUGAUGUUAGUUCCGGUACAGAAUCGGUAUCGUACAGUUACCGGUUUCAAAUUUCCCAUACCGAUUUUUUUUGGUACCGAAUCGGUACCCACUUUUUGACGUUUUCGGUAUAGGUAGUUUGGUCUGGUAUCAAUUCGGUAAGGUACCGGUAUUUUACCGAAUUUUAUCUUCAAUUACCCGAAUUUCAUCUUCAAUUACCGGUACUAUACCGAGCAUUUUCGGUACCGUUACACAUAAUUAGCGAUUUUUUGUACCUGUAUUUUCGGUACCAGUGCCGAGCUCAUGUCUAGAUGACAUUACUAUUGAUUCCGAUUAUUUGAAUAUUCCUUUAUGUGAAGAGGUACAAAAUUUCCUUACUUCGAACUAAGGCUAUCACAUGAGAAAUCAAGUGCGUAUACAUUAACUUCUAAAAGGAUAUUCAUCUCACAAUGGAAAUAUUUGUAAACAUAUGGUAUUGUAUUUGAUAAUAGCCUGUUUGAAACUAACUUGCUUUGACCCGUUACCCAUACAACCUCUUUCCAAAUGUAACUUCAAAACGGAUAUUCAUCUGAACAAUCCCACUUGGCUUCAUGUGUUUUAAUCAAACUUAGAUUAUUAUGUCAAAUAUAUCAAGAUUUUUCAUUUUAUAUUUUUUGGUGAUUGCAGGUCAUAGCAGUUGCAGCAUAUGGGCCUGUGAAGCUAUCUAAAGUUGCAUUAUUUUGUCAGGCUUUAUUGCUUUGUUAUGACGUAUUGCUGGGUUUGGUGGUAAGUGCAAGUUAUUGGACUUGGGCUUGACUUGGAUGAUGGCUAGAAGCUUGAAGUUUGUUGCUGAUGCGUAUGAAAGCCAAUAGAGUUUUGAAGAUUGAUGUUUUUUUUGUUUAAACUGUAUUUUGUCUUGAUUUUGGUUGUUUUCGUUUGUUUUUUGUUUGGAUUUUGAAUAGGUUUUAUGUUUGUAAUACUUGGGUUGUGUGUGGUCGCGAGUUGAGUUAGAAGUAAUAAUUGUUAUUGGUUAGAAUGGUUGGGGUAGGGGUUUGUUAAAAACCCGUUCUUUAAGGCCUUAAGCGUUUUUGAGGUUGGUGUUCUUGGGGUAUGUCUCGGAAGACCUAAUGCUCUUUAGGUGUAACUAUUAUUUUUUAAUUUUAUUAAUAAAGUUUUGACGGGGUGUCGUCCCC